This 301-nucleotide ribosomal RNA is filed under the name uncultured bacterium. RNAcentral describes it as "partial 16S ribosomal RNA". It matches the Rfam family "Bacterial small subunit ribosomal RNA", at positions 509 to 807 of the family's 1533-position model. The record is from RNAcentral.
CAGCAGCCGCGGUAAUACAGAGGGUGCGAGCGUUAAUCGGAUUUACUGGGCGUAAAGCGUGCGUAGGCGGCUUCUUAAGUCGGAUGUGAAAUCCCUGAGCUUAACUUAGGAAUUGCAUUCGAUACUGGGAAGCUAGAGUAUGGGAGAGGAUGGUAGAAUUCCAGGUGUAGCGGUGAAAUGCGUAGAGAUCUGGAGGAAUACCGAUGGCAAAGGCAGCCAUCUGGCCUAAUACUGACGCUGAGGUACGAAAGCAUGGGGAGCAAACAGGAUUAGAUACCCCCGUAGUCCCUGUCUCUUAUAC